RNAcentral lists this ribosomal RNA (275 nucleotides) under uncultured Lachnospiraceae bacterium. RNAcentral's name for it is "partial 16S ribosomal RNA". It matches the Rfam family "Bacterial small subunit ribosomal RNA", at positions 58 to 339 of the family's 1533-position model. The record is from RNAcentral. Lineage: Bacteria; Bacillati; Bacillota; Clostridia; Lachnospirales; Lachnospiraceae.
AAGACUUCGGUCAAGUUGAACGGAUGACUUAGUGGCGGACGGGUGAGUAACGCGUGAGGAACCUGCCUUUCAGUGGGGGACAACAGUUGGAAACGACUGCUAAUACCGCAUAAGCGCACAGCUUCGCAUGAAGCAGUGUGAAAAACUCCGGUGGUACAAGAUGGACCCGCGUCUGAUUAGCCAGUUGGCAGGGUAACGGCCUACCAAAGCGACGAUCAGUAGCCGACCUGAGAGGGUGACCGGCCACAUUGGGACUGAGACACGGCCCAAACUCC